ACAAGGAGAGUAACAUAUAUUAUUUGAAAAUUACAUAAAAAUUAUAAUAAAUUACAAUAGUUAACAACUACAAAUAUAUUAAAAAUAUGAUUGAUUAUCUAAAUUAUAUUUAUGCUAUAUAAAUUGAGAUAAAAAAUAAUUUAUAUUGGGCUUGUGCUAGCACGGGCCUCGGUAUCUAGUAUAUAUAUAUAUAAACUAGUUAGGCCUAACAGUAUAUUGUGAUAACUAUCCCAUAAUUUACAAAGAUGCAUCUUACUAAAUUUUCAAACUUUAACUAAUAUAGAUAUGCUUAUUGUCAUGGUGUUCUUGUGUUCAUAUCUCUCAAAUGGAAAUAAAAGUUUAGUGCAUUAACUACGUGGGCGCAUUUAAUAUAACAACCACUUACUGUCCAUCAAAAAGAAUUUUGUUGUCACACUUCACCGUUUUAAGUAAAUUUCUUCUUUUUUGUUCUUUCGUUUUAAUACAUGUUAUGUUAUAAAUGGGUUAUAUGUAAUGUCAAAUUUGAAACUUCUCCGAAAUCUCCACUUAGCCCACGUUCUUUUACGGUUUUAUUUUGAGAAAAGACAUUUUCCCUUUAGCACUUAACCUUGACUUUUAUUUAUUUAUCCUCUUUAACAUCUUUAAAGUAUAUUAUUUUCACCCCUAAAGACUUUUUUUUUAUUUUUUAAAAAGGACAUUUUUUAAUUUAAAAACUGAUAUGUCCCCACUUUUUUAUAUAUACAUAUAAUAUCGUAGAUUAUAUAGUUAGUAUAAUACUAUAGACAGAUAAAUAUAACAAACAAAUUAUAUAUAACAAGCAAUUAAAGCAGGUAAGUAAUUUUAAAACAGAGUUAUCGCGAUUUAUAAUAGACAAAUAAAUAAAUAAUAAUAAAAAUAGAUAGGUAAUAUAGACAGAUAAUAAUAACAAUAUAAUAGUAAUAGAGAAUAUAAUAAACAGAUAAAUAACAAUUAUAAUUGACAGGACGGAUAGAUAGAUAUAUCACUAAUAUAUAAACAAAGUUAAUAAUAAAUAGUAAUUAGUAUUUAUAUAUAUAAACAAUAUAUAUAUGUUAAUAAGUAUAAGUAUAUAUACAUAUAUUAGUAAGUGUAUAUAUAAGCAGUAAAUAUAUGUAUACAUAUUAUACUAUUUAAAUAUUAGGUAAUAAUAUAUAUAAUAUUAACAAAAAUAUAUAUAUAUUUUAUAAUCUUAUACAUAAACAACUUAUACUACUACUAGUAAUAAUAAUAAUAAUAAGCAAAAAUAUAUAUUACUUAUAUAUGUAUAUCAAUUAGUAUAUGUAUUAUAAUAUAUAUUUGUAGAUUAUAUAGAUAUAAUAUAUCGUAGAUUAUAUAGUUAGUAUAAUACUAUAGACAGAUAAAUAUAGAAAGCAAAUUAAGUAUAACAAGUUACUAAAGUAGGUAAGUAAUUUUAAGACAGUAAAACAAAAUUAUCGAGGUUGUGUUUUAAUAUAAUUAAAGCAGGUAAGUAAUUUUAAAACAGAGUUAUCGCGGUUGUAUUUUAAUAUGGUGUAAAGUUCUACUCAGUACUCCCUCCUUCGUUAUUCUUAGUCCAGUGUAAGUGUCCAAGUCAUAAAGAUCCAAGUAUAUUUUCUCCUAAAAUAAUUUUUUUAUUUUUAAUUUAUACUUUGUUUAUCUCUUUCUCUUCAGUUUUAGGUAUUUUAGUAAUAUCUUUUUUAAUCACACCCCGGGAGAAUAACAACAAUCCUUUUUUAAUCUUCUUCAGACUUUUUGAGUCCCUAGAAAUUUAAAGAUUAAUCCAUCGUUAUUGCUAAAACACUGAGAGAAUAACCAUAUACUGAGGGUAUAUUUAUAAAUAAUUUACUAGAUCAGAAAACUGAUGGUGAACCACCGGCGAUCCAGAUCUUAACAAUAAUAAAACUCAUGUGAAUGAAAAUAUAAACUUGAUUAAUUCAAACAUAAUUUACAAACUUGGGAGAAAAAUACAAAGAUCUAUGUAACUACUACUUAUAUGCCUUAAGUAAGGAGUGAGGUUUCCCUUUCAGGAGUCCUCUGAAAGUUGACAGCUAUCGAAAAUGAAGAACUAAGAAAACUUUUACCACUUUUCACACACUUUUUUUUUAAAUAACUUACAAACUUUAGAAACUAAGAAACUUAAAGAACUUAAGAAAAUCAAAGAACUUUCUCACUCUUGAUUUUUUCUUGUUUUUUUCUCUCUUUGAUACAUGUUUAAGUUUUCCAUAAAAGGGGGUAUUUAUAGGCAUCCUUGGACUUCAAAUAUUAACUUUUUUGUGGACUUCAAAUUCUUUCUAAAAACUUUAGCAAGACUUUAUCAACUUGGAUGGGCCCGACAGCUAAUGUUUUUCUUUAAUUCUCCUCCGUCCAUUUAUUUAUCUAAUAUUGCAUACGUCUGUUAUUUUAUCUUUUGUAAACAUUGUCAUUGCUUACGUAUCCAAAUUGUGUAAAGCUUCUGAUUCAAAAUCCAUUCCUGAAUCAUCUUCUGCGUUUGGGUCUUGGGCAAAUUGAUCCAUGGCUGAGUUGUAUUCUCGUUCAUAUUCGUCACUGUCUCCGCCUGAUAAUCCCAGUCUUGUUUCAGUUCUAGGUGAUCUUAUUUCUUCUCUUGGAAUUAAAGAAAUUCUGGGUCUUUGCUUUAGUGGUUCUGGAUUCAUUGCUAUCUCCUUAGGCAAUUGUUUUGCUAAUAACUUUUUUAUUAUGUCUACUACUAUUUUUUCUAUAUUUUUUUUUUAUUUUUAUUUUUCCUUAAUGAAAAACCCUUCUUAUUCUGAGAAGAACUUCCUUCAUCUGUUGUCUGAGUACCUAUGGUUUUAAAACUAGUUGGGAGUAUUCUCUCUACACUUUUUGGCAAAGUGUCAGCCGUCAACGAAUUUGAUAAGUCUUUACCAGCUACCAUUUGAGUUGGACUAGCUGUAUCAUUACCCGAUACAGUAGGUCUUUCUGUAUUCAUUGGAAAACGCACACCCAUUAACGGAUUUGAGAAGUCUUUACCAGUUAUCGUUUGAGCUGUAUUAGUUGUAUCAUUACCCAAUACAGUGAGUUUUUCCAUUUUUAAGAAGAUGGAGAACUCUUUGGCUGGGUCUCAUAAAUUGGUUGAGUCUGUUGUGAAAGUUCAAAAUGAAGGAUUUUUAUACGGUCUUAUAAAAUACUUAUAUGUUCUAACAUUUGUCCUUUUUCUUUUACAAGGUUUUCAUUAUCUUGUUUUAAAACUUCAUUGGCUUGAUUUAGUCUUUUAAAAGUUUCGAUCAUUGAGUAACAAUGAUCACAAAAUAUAAUUUUGUCUGUGUCUUUAUUUAUAUUAUAUUGAGGAAUUUUUUAUUUUUUCUGGUCUUAAAGGUGGAGUAAUAAAAUAAUUUGAUCUCAGAUUUCUUCGGACAUAGUCUAGAGUCUCUGAGAGGUCAUAAAAACCUUUAUAAAGAGGUGUUUUAUAAUCUUUUAUGACAUCUAUUACCUCUAUCCAAGUCUGGAACACGCCUUGCUGCUGUCCUCUGAGAACAACAUAGAAUUUAAACUUGUUAGUAGUAUUUUUCUCAGUAAAAUAGUAACUUAAUGCAUUUAGAACUGAAAUAAAAUAACUAUUGUCUCUUCUAUUAUAUGCUAUCCAUAAAUUAAGUAGACAUAUCUACGGCUUAUCCACUUGUACUUCCAGCUUUUGUCUGAAAGUUAAGUUGGAUGGUUCAUAACUUAUCAGGUUGUGAGGUCCAAAAAUUAUUCUAUCUAAGUUUGACUGUUCUAGCAUCGUAAGUGGUCUGAAAUGAGUGUUGCUCAUUAGUGUCUUUAGAUAGUCUUGGGAUGAUGAGGCUUCUGCCUUGUCUUUUCCUUUUCCUGUAUUCAUACUGAAACAAAAAUCGCGAGUUAUCUUCUUUCAUUAAUCUACUUAGUUGAUCUGCUAUAUUUUUCUUUAGUAUAUUCUAAAACAAUAUUAUAGAUUGAAGUAGCAUCUAGGAAAUUUAACCAUCUCCUUUUACUACUAUUCUUAUCUUUUAUUUUCUGAUAAAACUUUACUAUAGUUUCGCAGUCUGUUCUUACUAGUAUUUCAAGCUUAUUUAAUAUAUAAAGUUUAAAACUAUUCAAACCUUAAAUUACUGCUAGUGUCUCUGCAUCUAUACUAUUUAACUUUCCCUUUUCUUUAUAUUUUUCACUUAAAUAAGCACAAAUUUUUUCAUCAUUUUUAUCACUGUAUUUAUUGAGUUUUGCCUUUAAUAUUGCUCCUCAUCCUUGAAGGCUUCUGUCUGUCUCAACUAUUAAAUAAUGUGUUUCUAAUGGUAAUGUUAAAUUUGGGAUGUCUUGUUUUGCUUGAUUGUCUAGGUUUUGUCUAAAUACUCUAUAUCUUGGUAAAUUUUCUGUUGUUAAUGGUACGUUUUGUAUACCGAUUGUUCUCUGGAAAGGGCUUGCAGUGCUUGCUGCACUUUCCAUAAAUUCUUUUAUACUUUCGUCUGUACUAUAAAUUGAUUCUGAGUCUUCACCUUUUAGUUCCUUUUUACAUGUAUAACAAUAAUUAUAUGUUCUUAAUUCACAUUUUAUAAAAUGUUCUUUCAUUUCCUCAAGGUCUAAGUUUCCUAAUUUAUAGCCUGUGCAUUUAAAUACGCUAUUGCUAUUUAUUUCAUAUAUGACUUCUUCUUUUAUUAUAGCUUUAUUUAUUUCAAAACCUUCUUCUAAUAUUUCUAUAUUCAUAAAAUUAGUAUUCUCACAUUCUUCAAUUUCUUCAUCAGUCUCUUUUUCAUUUGUAUAUUGGUAGUUGUGAAUCUUACUGAAGCUUGUCCUUUAUUGUUUAUAUACAUUAAAUGAUCGGUUGACUUU
This 4773-nucleotide long non-coding RNA is filed under the name Capsicum annuum. Its description in RNAcentral is "long non-coding RNA (CANN_LNC001386)". The record is from RNAcentral. Lineage: Eukaryota; Viridiplantae; Streptophyta; Magnoliopsida; Solanales; Solanaceae.